Molecule: ribosomal RNA, 468 nt
Filed under: uncultured bacterium
Lineage: Bacteria
Description: partial 16S ribosomal RNA
Rfam family: Bacterial small subunit ribosomal RNA
Source: RNAcentral
GACGAACGCUGGCGGCGUGCUUAACACAUGCAAGUCGAACGGAAAGGCCCUGCUUUUGUGGGGUGCUCGAGUGGCGAACGGGUGAGUAACACGUGAGUAACCUGCCCUUGACUUUGGGAUAACUUCAGGAAACUGGGGCUAACACCGGAUAGGAGCUCCUGCUGCAUGGUGGGGGUUGGAAAGUUUCGGCGGUUGGGGAUGGACUCGCGGCUUAUCAGCUUGUUGGUGGGGUAGUGGCUUACCAAGGCUUUGACGGGUAGCCGGCCUGAGAGGGUAGACGGCUGCAUUAGGCCUGCGAUACGGCCCAGAAUCGAACGGGAGGCAGCAGUGGGGAAUAUUGCACAAUGGGCGGAAGCCUGAGGCAGCAACGCCGCGUGCGGGAUGACGGCCUUCGGGUUGUAAACCGCUUUCGCCUGUGACGAAGCGUGAGUGACGGUAAUGGGUAAAGAAGCACCGGCUAACUACGUG